GACGAACGCUGGCGGCGUGCUUAACACAUGCAAGUCGAACGGAAAGGCCCUGCUUUUGUGGGGUGCUCGAGUGGCGAACGGGUGAGUAACACGUGAGUAACCUGCCCUUGACUUUGGGAUAACUUCAGGAAACUGGGGCUAAUACCGGAUAGGAGCUCCUGCUGCAUGGUGGGGGUUGGAAAGUUUCGGCGGUUGGGGAUGGACUCGCGGCUUAUCAGCUUGUUGGUGGGGUAGUGGCUUACCAAGGCUUUGACGGGUAGCCGGCCUGAGAGGGUGACCGGCCACAUUGGGACUGAGAUACGACCCAGACUCGUACCGGAGGCAGCAGUGCAGAAUAUGACACAAUGGGCGGAAGCCUGAUGCAGCAACGCCGCGUGCGGGAUGACGGCCUUCGGGUUGUAAACCGCUUUCGCCUGUGACGAAGCGUGAGUGACGGUAAUGGGUAAAGAAGCACCGGCUAACUACGUG
This 468-nucleotide ribosomal RNA is filed under the name uncultured bacterium. RNAcentral's name for it is "partial 16S ribosomal RNA". It matches the Rfam family "Bacterial small subunit ribosomal RNA", at positions 28 to 507 of the family's 1533-position model. The record is from RNAcentral.